RNAcentral lists this ribosomal RNA (465 nucleotides) under Vreelandella stevensii. RNAcentral describes it as "partial 16S ribosomal RNA". It matches the Rfam family "Bacterial small subunit ribosomal RNA", at positions 338 to 795 of the family's 1533-position model. Lineage: Bacteria; Pseudomonadati; Pseudomonadota; Gammaproteobacteria; Oceanospirillales; Halomonadaceae. The record is from RNAcentral.
CCUACGGGUGGCAGCAGUGGGGAAUAUUGGACAAUGGGGGCAACCCUGAUCCAGCCAUGCCGCGUGUGUGAAGAAGGCCCUCGGGUUGUAAAGCACUUUCAGUGAGGAAGAACGCCUGGUGGUGAAUACCCAUCAGGAAAGACAUCACUCACAGAAGAAGCACCGGCUAACUCCGUGCCAGCAGCCGCGGUAAUACGGAGGGUGCGAGCGUUAAUCGGAAUUACUGGGCGUAAAGCGCGCGUAGGUGGCUUGAUAAGCCGGUUGUGAAAGCCCCGGGCUCAACCUGGGAACGGCAUCCGGAACUGUCAAGCUAGAGUGCAGGAGAGGAAGGUAGAAUUCCCGGUGUAGCGGUGAAAUGCGCAGAGAUCGGGAGGAAUACCAGUGGCGAAGGCGGCCUUCUGGACUGACACUGACACUGAGGUGCGAAAGCGUGGGUAGCAAACAGGAUUAGAUACCCCAGUAGUC